UACGUAUGGUGCAAGCGUUAUCCGGAUUUACUGGGUGUAAAGGGAGCGUAGACGGAGAAGCAAGUCUGGAGUGAAAGCCCGGGGCUCAACCCCGGGACUGCUUUGGAAACUGUUUUUCUUGAGUGCCGGAGAGGUAAGCGGAAUUCCUAGUGUAGCGGUGAAAUGCGUAGAUAUCGGGAGGAACACCAGUGGCGAAGGCGGCUUGCUGGGCUCUAACUGACGCUGAGGCUCGAAAGUGUGGGGAGCAAACAGG
This 253-nucleotide ribosomal RNA is filed under the name uncultured bacterium. RNAcentral's name for it is "partial 16S ribosomal RNA". It matches the Rfam family "Bacterial small subunit ribosomal RNA", at positions 524 to 776 of the family's 1533-position model. The record is from RNAcentral.